Long non-coding RNA from Dasypus novemcinctus (nine-banded armadillo), 578 nucleotides. The record is from Ensembl. Lineage: Eukaryota; Metazoa; Chordata; Mammalia; Cingulata; Dasypodidae.
GGGGAAGCAGUUAAUCACACUUUUGUGCGGAUAGUUGUAACUUCUCAAGUAUCCAAUCUAUGGAGAAACAGAAGAAGCGCUUGCGUGCUAGGCUUAGGGGUAUAAAUUGUGUCAUUCUUCUUUGUUUGGCAUGCCAGCCACGUUUUCUGGUUGUGCGCCCCUUCUCGCAAGAUUGAGAAUAAAUUCUUUUCUUCUCCACAAUCGGGUGAGCCUUAUUUUCUUCCAGAAGAAGAUUUCUUUCUUACAUGAUAUAUACAGGAUUCUUUAAAAAACUUGGAGUCCGUUGGAUGCUUUCAUUUUCAAGGAACAGAAAACUCAACUCCAAUGGACAUAGAAAUAAAAGAAACUUCCCGAUGGAACUGAAAUGUCUCGAGGAAUUACAGCUUCAAACACAGCGCAGUCAAGGAAGAAGCCUGUUAAAUCUGCUGGAAUCUGCAGGCUUAAGAACCUGGGAUGAAAACCGUGCAGGCACCAACUCCGGUUUGGGUGAAGCAUACUGUUUCCAGCACUUGGGAUGCAUGUAACAGGAUUGACAAGUUCUGCUCUAAGGAAUAAGAAACUGCUCCUGCCUUCAGGGA